CUCCAGAUGUUGCUGAAUUACAACUCCCAUGAUUCUAUGACUGAAAUAAAUAGGCUGAGAAUCACGGGAGUUGUACUUCAGCAAAAUCUGGAG
RNAcentral lists this microRNA precursor (93 nucleotides) under Pelobates cultripes (western spadefoot toad). Lineage: Eukaryota; Metazoa; Chordata; Amphibia; Anura; Pelobatidae. The record is from RNAcentral.